UUUUUUUUUGUUUUGUUGAGUUUUAUUUGUUAGAUUUUUAGGUGUUAUCUUCCACAACAUCAUCGUCAUUUUUCGAAUCCCUCUUACUUGCAAUCUCCCCAUCAACAGUACCGUCCUAAUGAUCAGGAAAAAAAUGUUUACUAUUAUUGAGGCAAGGCAAUCCACACAGUCAAGCAUUUUAUAUGCAUCAAGAUAAAUGUAACUCUAGAUGCAAGAACAUGUCACCUCUCCCGAUCUUUUCUUUAACAUUUGUCUUUUAACAUUUUCCUCAGAAAUUCGCAAAAACAUGUCUAACAUUUUCCGCACAAAUUCAUUUGCGAGUGAUCGUCUUUCUCCAACUCUGUGGAAUUUCAAAAGAGUUUUUAUAUUCAGUAGUAACAUAUAUCAAAACAUCUACAACUUAAGAAUCUAAAAUAAUUUUUAUACAUACUUUGUUUUUCUUAUAUAAUAGUAAUACCUCAUUGGUUUUCUUUUAUGGUUCUUCUAAUUUGAUUUAGAAUGCACUUGCACCCCCAACCAUGACGUCAAGAUCAGUAUCUAAUAAAUUUAAUAUUGUAUAUUCUUUGUUCCUGUAUAUAAUCAAUCUGUUUCUUUUAGUUGAAACACGUACGAAGACCUUUGAGAUUCUUGAGUUGAGGAGGAAUCUCAGACGUUGAAUCACCGCUUGGGCUAUCAGCUGAGAUGAAGGAACAUGUCUUUCCUUAGGCAUCGCUAGUAAACUAAAGCAUAUCAGAGAAAAGUUAUUAUAAUCUCGAUGGGAAUACCUGGUAGUAGGAAAAACUGAGUUCAUGUUGCAUAAAUUGUAGCGAAAAAGUAAGAAUAAGCUUCUUCUUACAAACCUCGCCUGUAAAGUAAAACCAUCCGCAUUUAUUUUUUGAAUUCAUGUGAUGGUAGCACGAACAGUCACAACAAUAUAAUUGUCCACUUACUUU
Long non-coding RNA from Tripterygium wilfordii, 932 nucleotides. RefSeq lists it as uncharacterized. The record is from RefSeq and is a predicted model, not a curated record. Lineage: Eukaryota; Viridiplantae; Streptophyta; Magnoliopsida; Celastrales; Celastraceae. The transcript is spliced from 2 exons.